UAGUAAAUUCUUGAUGUAUUUUGUUUUCCAUUCAGCAUUGAUUUCUUUCAGGGAUUGGCACUAUUGAUUUGUGCAUUGCAGGCCCUUUAUCUGAAUUGCCCAGAGCUUAACGACCUGAAUCUCAAUUCAUGUACAAACUUGCAUCCAGGUAGUUACUGAAUGUUCUACUUGUAGGUAGCUGACAUGGAGACUCAGUGUUAGACACUACAAACCUUGAGAAUCCAAAUGCAAACAUCUCUGUACGAGUUAUAUGUUAUUGUCAAAACUCAGAAGAUACAAUCAUCAUCUCCAUAGCCUUGUCCUAGCCAUUUGUUGCAUGCUGUGAGAUUAUACAUGCGUACAUAUAGAAAAAAAAUGUCUCUAGUUAAAUAGGAAUUUGCCUAGAACUACGUAGUUAGAAUGUGGAUGGUGCUUGUAAAUGAACAAGACCAUGAACUUAGAUUUUACCCUACCAGCUAUUUCAAUGUGUUUAGCACAGAUGUGCAGCUAAUGCUCGGGAUGGGUAUUGUUUGAAAAAAACAGAGUUCUUUAUACAUAGAUUGGAGGUGGGUGGGGGAAACAUUUAGUGUGUAAAAUUAUAAUUAGGUUCUUUUGAAGCAUAAUCCUUCUUUCAAAUUUGAGGCCUUGCUCUGUUCUGGUUCUUCAAGUUUGCAUUACUGCAUCACCUUCUUCUCCUUCUUCUUUUUAAAUUUUUUAUACACAUUUAAACCAAAUCUGAUGACUACAAAGAAAUUGUCUUAGUUCACAGAUUAUGUUACAUACUUAGAUUUCAUUUCGUUCACAUUUGCAACAGGCUCUUGCAAACACAUUGACUGUGGAUGAGCUUUUUUAUAUGAAAGAGCAAUUUGCACUAUUGGAGCCAAAUAAGAAUAUAUGGGUGCAUCUCACUAGAAAACAUAAGAAUGGCAUUGGUGAAAAAUGCAACAGAUGCUAUGAAGGAAUCUCGCAUUCAUGAUUUUCUUGCUUUGUUGAAUGCUCUUCAAUAUAGAAAGAUGGACUUUCACACCAGCAGCACUUUAUGGUCAGCUAACAAACACGUCUACACACAAAUGACAGAGAGAGGAUCCAUUCCAGUGUAAAGAAGAAUCAUCAAUGCCUGAUGAAAGGGCGUCGUUCUUUGAAGCGGACAUGGUCCUUGAUGUUGUCUCCUUCCAACUUGAGGCUGGCCCACCACACCAAAUCGUCUUCCACCUUUAGAGAACCCCCACCAACAGCGGUGGUAGAAGCAGCAGCAUUGUCACAAGGAACUUAAAGAGGAAGAUUAUUCAGCUUCGGACAUCCACUCACUCUCAGUUUCACCAAUGUUGGCAAGCACACCUCACCACAAAUACUCUCCAGCUUAGGUAGCUCCCACAAACAUACUGUACGUAGUCGUUGGAGUGAGCCUUUAGCUCCCCGUCGAAACAUUGCAUCCAGUCUAUUACAGAAUUUGAUAUGGAGAGUUUCCAGGCUUUCUAAGCAUACAGCUGAGGAGAAGAUGACCACGAGUCUCGGGCAACACUCCAGAUAUAUGUGCAAUUCCCAAAAAACACACAACCAAGGAAAAAUUCUCUCAAUGAAGCCAGCAGCAGCGGUAGCAGUAACAAUGACAGAAAUCCUGGAUGUACAG
Molecule: long non-coding RNA, 1609 nt
Organism: Magnolia sinica
Lineage: Eukaryota; Viridiplantae; Streptophyta; Magnoliopsida; Magnoliales; Magnoliaceae
Exons: 3
Source: RefSeq, a predicted model, not a curated record